RNAcentral lists this ribosomal RNA (1985 nucleotides) under metagenome. RNAcentral's name for it is "bacterial LSU rRNA". It matches the Rfam family "Bacterial large subunit ribosomal RNA", at positions 3 to 2023 of the family's 2925-position model. The record is from RNAcentral.
UUAAGCAAAGAAGAGCGCAGGGUGGAUGCCUUGGCACUAAGAGCCGAAGAAAGACGUGAUAAGCUGCGAAAAGCUGCGGGGAGAUGCAAAUAAUCCUUGAUCCGCAGAUGUCUGAAUGGGGAAACCCGGUACGAAGAACUCGUAUCAUCCAUACGCCAAUCCAUAACGUAUGGAGGGGAACCCGGUGAACUGAAACAUCUAAGUAGCCGGAGGAAGAGAAAGAAACAUCGAUUUUGUUAGUAGCGGCGAGCGAAAGCGAAAGAGGCCAAACCGGAGUGCGUGCACUCCGGGGUUCGGACCGCAUUUAAGAUUCAGUGAUUCUAGCAGAAAGGUUUGGGAAAGCCUGCCGGAGAGGGUGAAAGCCCCGUAAGCGAAAGGAGAGCUGACUGAGCGGAAUCCAGAGUACAUCGAGACACGAGAAACCUUGAUGGAAUGAGCGGGGACCACCCCGUAAGCCUAAAUACUACUUAGUGACCGAUAGCGCAUAGUACUGUGAAGGAAAGGUGAAAAGGACCCCGGGAGGGGAGUGAAAGAGAACCUGAAACCCUGUGUUUACAAGCUGUGGAAGUUCUUUAAAUGAACAACCGCGUACUUUUUGUAGAACGGUCCGGCGAGUUGCGGAUACUGGCAAGGUUAAGCACUUAAGGUGCGGAGCCGAAGGGAUACCAAGUCUUAACAGGGCGUUAAGUCAGUAUACGCAGACCCGAAACCGGGUGAUCUAUCCAUGUCCAGGUUGAAGUUGUCGUAAAAGACAAUGGAGGACCGAAGCCACAUCCGUUGAAAAGGGUGGGCAUGAGGUGUGGAUAGGGGAGAAAUUCCAAUCGAACCCGGAGAUAGCUGGUUCUCCUCGAAAUAGCUUUAGGGCUAGCCUCGAUUUAGUCUUAUGGAGGUAGAGCACUGAAUUUCCGCGGGGGCGUCAAAGCUUACCAAAGAAUAUCAAACUCCGAAUGCCAUGUAGAUGAUGAUCGGGAGUCAGACUGCACGAGAUAAGUUGGGCAGUCAAAAGGGAAAGAGCCCAGACCACCGGCUAAGGUCCCAAAGUGCGUGUUAAGUGGAAAAGGAUGUGGGAAUUCGAAGACAACUAGGAUGUUGGCUCAGAAGCAGCCAUACAUUCAAAGAGUGCGUAACAGCUCACUAGUCGAGAGUUCCUGCGCCGAAAAUGUCCGGGGCUGAAACACGACACCGAAGCCGUGGACUCGCAAUGCGAGUGGUAGAGGAGCAUUCUUAAAACCGACGAAGCUGUACCGGAAGGAGCAGUGGAGGGAUAAGAAGAGAGAAUGCCGGAAUGAGUAGCGAGAGAAAGGUGGGAAUCCUUUCGGCCGAAUAUCUAAGGUUUCCAGAGUAAAGCUGAUCUGCUCUGGGUAAGUCGGGGCCUAAGCACAGGUCGCAAGACGUAAGCGAUGGAUAACAGGUUUAGAUUCCUGUACCACGCAUUAUCAGAACUGUAGGGACGCAUGUGGAAAGCACGAGCCGGGAAUGGAAAGACCGGUACAAGCGAGGUAGGUGUACAAUAGGCAAAUCCGUUGUAUGAUCCGAAGACGUGAUGUGGAGCGAAAUAAAGUAGUGAAGCGUGUGAGCCAUGUGCCGAGAAAAGCUGCUAUUGUGUAAUGCGUGCCCGUACCGUAAACCGACACAGGUGGAUGAGGAGAGAAUCCUAAGGCCGACGGAAGAAGCAUUGUUAAGGAAUUCGGCAAAAUGACCCCGUAACUUCGGGAGAAGGGGUGCCUGCGAGAGCAGGCCGCAGAGAAUAGGCUCAAGCAACUGUUUAGCAAAAACACAGGUCUAUGCGAAACCGAAAGGUGAAGUAUAUGGGCUGACGCCUGCCCGGUGCUGGAAGGUUAAGAGGAGAGGUUAGCGUAAGCGAAGCUUUGAAUUUAAGCCCCAGUAAACGGCGGCCGUAACUAUAACGGUCCUAAGGUAGCGAAAUUCCUUGUCGGGUAAGUUCCGACCCGCACGAAAGGCGUAAUGAUUUGAGCACUGUCUCG